UUCUGUGAUGAUUGUAUUUCGACCUUUACCACAUUCUGAAUCAUCUUGUGGAUAACAAUUCUACAUUAGUUUCAGCCUUGUCUGAUC
This 87-nucleotide small nucleolar RNA is filed under the name Jaapia argillacea MUCL 33604. Its description in RNAcentral is "A. fumigatus snoRNA Afu_455". It matches the Rfam family "A. fumigatus snoRNA Afu_455". Lineage: Eukaryota; Fungi; Basidiomycota; Agaricomycetes; Jaapiales; Jaapiaceae. The record is from Rfam by way of RNAcentral.